UUUACUUUCAUCAACAUUUUAGUUGCCUUUUUUUUAUUUAAAAAAAAUAACAACUUGGCUGAAUACCUUAUGCCAAAGUCAUAACAGAGAAUUGAAACUGGUAUAUCGAAAGGAAGAGGCAGGUGUUUUGCAGUUGGCAUUUACCUUUGUCUACAUGCACUUUUAAGUCCAGAUAGGCCACAGCUGAGCUGGCGAGCACAAGCAAACAGAUUGCUCUUCCGAAUCCUGAAGCCAGUAUCAGGAUGUCCUUCCACAGAAAAGCGACAAUGUUUUCAUGAAUGUGGACUUGGUCAAAUACUGCAUAUAUAUUAGUAGGCCAGCAUUUAUUAUAAUUUGUCAGUAUGGAUUGAUGUUUUAAAUAGCCAUUGGAGUUGACUUUUAAGCCUACCAUUACCAUGAUAACUGUGACUGCAUAUCAGAAUUGGAAUUAAUUUUGUCUUAUCUUAAUGUUAACAUACAGUUAGCCUACCGUGCAUGUUUUCAUUCAAAGGACACAGCUUUCAAUAAAGUUCAUCACAUUGAGCUAGCACUUGAUAACAACUGUUGUGCUAUUCUUGGUAUGUGAGACUUAUCUGCUGCAUUUGAAGUUAUUGACCAGCUGAUUCUGAUUGAACAUCUUGAAUA
Mytilus trossulus (common blue mussel) is the source of this 624-nucleotide long non-coding RNA. RefSeq lists it as uncharacterized. NCBI's taxonomy places the organism in Eukaryota, Metazoa, Mollusca, Bivalvia, Mytilida, Mytilidae. The transcript has 5 exons. The record is from RefSeq and is a predicted model, not a curated record.